This 476-nucleotide ribosomal RNA is filed under the name uncultured Sphingobacteriales bacterium. Its description in RNAcentral is "bacterial SSU rRNA". It matches the Rfam family "Bacterial small subunit ribosomal RNA", at positions 902 to 1382 of the family's 1533-position model. Lineage: Bacteria; Pseudomonadati; Bacteroidota; Sphingobacteriia; Sphingobacteriales. The record is from RNAcentral.
CAAAUGAAUUGACGGGGCCCGCACAAGCGGUGGAGCAUGUGGUUUAAUUCGAUGAUACGCGAGGAACCUUACCUGGGCUCAAAUGUAUGUUGACGUAUUCUGAAAGGGAUACUUCUUCGGACAAUAUACAAGGUGCUGCAUGGUUGUCGUCAGCUCGUGCCGUGAGGUGUCGGGUUAAGUCCCAUAACGAGCGCAACCCUAUCAUUAGUUGCCAUCAGGUCAAGCUGGGGACUCUAAUGAAACUGCCUACGCAAGUAGUGAGGAAGGUGGGGAUGACGUCAAAUCAGCACGGCCCUUACGUCCAGGGCUACACACGUGCUACAAUGGCCGGUACAAAGGGCAGCUACCUGGUGACAGGAUGCUAAUCUCAAAAGCCGGUCUCAGUUCGGAUCGGAGUCUGCAACCCGACUCCGUGAAGCUGGAUUCGCUAGUAAUCGCGCAUCAGCCACGGCGCGGUGAAUACGUUCCCGGGCCUU